This 24-nucleotide non-coding RNA is filed under the name Cricetulus griseus (Chinese hamster). The record is from RNAcentral. Lineage: Eukaryota; Metazoa; Chordata; Mammalia; Rodentia; Cricetidae.
AAGUAGGUUGUUAGAGAUGUCUGG